CCCAAGUGCCACUCUUAACGGGAUGGCUUUUCAUUAGUGUAAAGAGCUUUUGGAAUAAGGGCUGGGCAAGACCGGUGCCAGCCGCCGCGGUAACACCGGCAGCUCUAGUGGUAGCAGUUUUUAUUGGGCCUAAAGCGUUCGUAGCCGGUUUGAUAAGUCU
This 160-nucleotide ribosomal RNA is filed under the name uncultured archaeon. Its description in RNAcentral is "partial 16S rRNA". It matches the Rfam family "Archaeal small subunit ribosomal RNA", at positions 380 to 540 of the family's 1478-position model. The record is from RNAcentral.